Long non-coding RNA from Mytilus trossulus (common blue mussel), 277 nucleotides. RefSeq lists it as uncharacterized. The record is from RefSeq and is a predicted model, not a curated record. The transcript has 2 exons. Lineage: Eukaryota; Metazoa; Mollusca; Bivalvia; Mytilida; Mytilidae.
AGUAUAGUUAAAUGCAAGAUGGGUUCAAAACUUGUUUUCAGCAUCAUGUUUUGCGUUUUGUUUCAUCUUGCAAUGGCAUUUCCUCCGAAUCCACCUGCUGUGCCUGUCAUGAAAUUCUGUAAAACAUGUAAUCAAAGUUUGGAAGAGAGGAACAUGGCAUGGGAAACAUGCACUAGCAUCCUAGAUCAAGCUGAGUGUAAUCUGAAUCCGUCAUGCGUCUUUGGUCAAUAUAUCUGUUUCUUGGAUUUGAACAGUGUGAAAUAAAAUGAAAUUCUGA